This 254-nucleotide ribosomal RNA is filed under the name uncultured bacterium. RNAcentral's name for it is "partial 16S ribosomal RNA". It matches the Rfam family "Bacterial small subunit ribosomal RNA", at positions 524 to 776 of the family's 1533-position model. The record is from RNAcentral.
UACAGAGGGUGCUAGCGUUGUUCGGAAUCAUUGGGCGUAAAGGGCGUGUAGGCGGUUUGUUAAGUCAUGUGUGAAAUCCCUCGGCUCAACCGGGGAAGGACGCAUGAAACUGGCAAGCUAGAGUACCAAAGAGGGGGGGUGGAAUUCCCGGUGUAGCGGUGAAAUGCGUAGAUAUCUGGAGGAACACCGGUGGCGAAGGCGGCAUCCUGGACCGAGAUUGACGCUGAGACACGAAAGCGUGGGUAGCAAACAGG